Molecule: ribosomal RNA, 207 nt
Filed under: uncultured bacterium
Lineage: Bacteria
Description: partial 16S ribosomal RNA
Rfam family: Bacterial small subunit ribosomal RNA
Source: RNAcentral
CUCGUAGGCGGUCCGUCACGUCGGAAGUGAAAACCCGGAGCUUAACUCCGGGCCUGCUUUCGAUACGGGCGAACUUGAGCUCGGUAGGGGAGACUGGAACUCCUGGUGUAGCGGUGGAAUGCGCAGAUAUCAGGAAGAACACCGAUGGCGAAGGCAGGUCUCUGGGCCGAUACUGACGCUGAGGAGCGAAAGCGUGGGGAGCAAACA